GACGAACGCUGGCGGCGUGGAUUAGGCAUGCAAGUCGAACGGUAUCAUCCUUUCGGGGGUGAGAGAGUGGCGAACUGGUGAGUAACACGUAGGUUAUCUACCCUCAAGACGGGGACAACCCAGGGAAACUUGGGCUAAUACCGGAUGUGAGCAACUUUUAGUUGUUUGAAAGGUGGCGUAAGCUGUCGCUUGGGGAUGAGCCUGCGUCCUAUUAGUUAGUUGGUGAGGUAACGGCUCACCUAGGCAAUGAUAGGUAGGCGGCCUUAACGGGUGGUCGCCCACACUGGGAUUGAGAUACGGCCCAGACUCCUACGGGAGGCAGCAGUCGAGAAUAGUCUACAAUGGUCGGAAGACUGAUAGUGCGACGCCGCGUGAACGAUGAAUCCCUUCGGGGUGUAAAGUUCUUUUAUAUGUGAGCAGUGCUUCUUAUAUUAACAGUAUGGGGAAGAGAUAUUAGCAUAUGAAUAAGCAACGGCUAACUCCGUGCCAGCAGCCGCGGUAAACACG
Molecule: ribosomal RNA, 507 nt
Filed under: uncultured bacterium
Lineage: Bacteria
Description: bacterial SSU rRNA
Rfam family: Bacterial small subunit ribosomal RNA
Source: RNAcentral